RNAcentral lists this ribosomal RNA (468 nucleotides) under bacterium enrichment culture clone ALO1_GLFRUDD03FMQSA. Its description in RNAcentral is "bacterial SSU rRNA". It matches the Rfam family "Bacterial small subunit ribosomal RNA", at positions 9 to 524 of the family's 1533-position model. The record is from RNAcentral.
GAGUUUGAUCCUGGCUCAGAGCGAACGCUGGCGGCAUGCUUAACACAUGCAAGUCGCACGGUCAGCAAUGGCAGUGGCGGACGGGGUGAGUAACACGUAGGAAUCUAUCUCUGGGUGGGGGACAACAGUGGGAAACUACUGCUAAUACCGCAUGAUACCUGAGGGUCAAAGGCGUAAGUCGCCUGGAGAGGAGCCUGCGUCUGAUUAGCUUGUUGGUGGGGUAAAGCCUACCAAGGCUACGAUCAGUAGCUGGUCUGAGAGGAUGAUCAGCCACAUUGGGACUGAGACACGGCCCAAACUCCUACGGGAGGCAGCAGUGGGGAAUAUUGGACAAUGGGCGAAAGCCUGAUCCAGCAAUGCCGCGUGUGUGAAGAAGGUCUUCGGAUUGUAAAGCACUUUUGGCAGGGACGAUGAUGACGGUACCUGCAGAAUAAGCCCCGGCUAACUUCGUGCAGCAGCCGCGGUAAU